Cebus imitator (Panamanian white-faced capuchin) is the source of this 767-nucleotide long non-coding RNA. RefSeq lists it as uncharacterized. The record is from RefSeq and is a predicted model, not a curated record. The transcript has 2 exons. NCBI's taxonomy places the organism in Eukaryota, Metazoa, Chordata, Mammalia, Primates, Cebidae.
AUAGCACUUCAGCAAACCACUACCCCUCCUAAAAUAUCCAUAUUGAUUGAAGAGCAAAUACAUUCGGCAUUGUGUGUCCUAAUCCUUCUGAAAUGGGAUUUUCUCACCAUUAAAUGUCUUUCCCAACUGCAUGUAUUAAAAAUGUGAUGCUGAAAUUCUGCUCCAAGGAAACUCAAGGGAGAAAAGAGCCAAUGUCAGUCAUCCUAAAUAGUGGGAUGUGUCUGAGCAUAUGGAGGCUGUAAAUACACAUGGAAUGGGAUUGCCUUCUGCAAAAUGAUGCAGUUUUGAGCAGCACUUUGUUGCCCUCAAAACUGGGCUCUCUCUUCCUUCGCAAACAAUCCCAUUGAGAUCUGGGGUUCAAGCUGCCAUCAGAAGAAUUCUCUGCCUCUGGAUACUUCUCCCUGGCCAGAGACAGGUGAUUGUGCCAUGAAAUCACUGGGUGCCAGAAGGCCUGCAGACCAUGUUGGAGGAGCCUCUCACUUGCCUGCUGCAUCACUGAAUAUUUCCUGAGUGUCAAGAAAGACGAUGCUGGGAAUAGUCCCUCCUUGCCCAGAUCUCUUAAAAGCCAGAGAGCUCAUAGCAUCCUGUCUCCUCCAGAAGCUCUUCCCCAGCUGAAAUGUAAAUGAAGGGCUAUUAGUCUGCUCCUCAACCACCCACCUCCAUGGUCCCUGACAGUGUGAAUGAGCUCCUCACAGCCAGGAUUUUUUUCUCCAGUGAAAAGUAGCAAUUUCUCCUACACUGAAAAUUUCCUUAAUAAAAAAAUUCAU